This 279-nucleotide ribosomal RNA is filed under the name uncultured bacterium. RNAcentral's name for it is "partial 16S ribosomal RNA". It matches the Rfam family "Bacterial small subunit ribosomal RNA", at positions 506 to 784 of the family's 1533-position model. The record is from RNAcentral.
UGCCAGCCGCCGCGGUAAUACGGAGGGUUCAAGCGUUUUCCGGAUUUAUUGGGUCUAAAGAGUGCGUAGGUGGUUUAUUAAGUCAGUGGUGAAAUCCUGCAGCUCAACUGUAGAACUGCCAUUGAUACUGGUAAACUUGAGUUUGGUUUAGGUAAGUGGAAUUUAUGAUGUAGCGGUGAAAUGCAUAGAUAUCAUAAGGAACACCAAUAGCGAAGGCAGCUUACUGGACCAUAACUGACACUGGGGCACGAAAGCGUGGGUAGCGAACGGGAUUAGAUA